RNAcentral lists this signal recognition particle RNA (264 nucleotides) under Clostridium sp. cel8. RNAcentral's name for it is "Bacterial large signal recognition particle RNA". It matches the Rfam family "Bacterial large signal recognition particle RNA". From Rfam's summary of the family: The signal recognition particle (SRP) is a universally conserved ribonucleoprotein involved in the co-translational targeting of proteins to membranes. Archaeal SRP consists of a 7S RNA and homologues of the eukaryotic SRP19 and SRP54 proteins. The record is from Rfam by way of RNAcentral. Lineage: Bacteria; Bacillati; Bacillota; Clostridia; Eubacteriales; Clostridiaceae.
UCGUGCUAGAUGGGGAGUUAGCGGUGCCCUGUACCUGCAAUCCGCUACAGCAGGAUUGAAUUCCUUGCUUAGGCUUCAAAUUGUAAGGCUGGCCUGUAAAAGUGGCGUUGAGAACUGGGUCCCACGCAAUGGAAACUCAUGAACCCCGUCAGGUCCGGAAGGAAGCAGCGGUAAGUGAUAAUUUUCGUGUGCCGUGGAAAAACCUAGUUUGAGCUAACUAUACAGGUAACGCUUAUGAUUUGUUAGACGAAGCAAGGUGCACGA